GCUCCUAAUACCCAGAGAUAUGUGGCAGUGUCUGGACAAGGUUCUGGAUCAAUGACGUAGAGUUGCGUCCCAUUUCCCUUGUUCAUGAAGUAUGGUGGAGGGUACAUCCGCUCCAUCUUGCAGACAUAAAGACCAGUAUCAUUAGCUUGCAGGCCUGUGAGGGUAAGGGUCACGUUGUUUCGGCUCGGGCUAACAUGGCACUGAAUAA
RNAcentral lists this long non-coding RNA (208 nucleotides) under Gallus gallus (chicken). The record is from RNAcentral. Lineage: Eukaryota; Metazoa; Chordata; Aves; Galliformes; Phasianidae.